This 91-nucleotide microRNA precursor is filed under the name Pteropus vampyrus (large flying fox). Its description in RNAcentral is "miRNA (ENSPVAG00000026389.1)". Lineage: Eukaryota; Metazoa; Chordata; Mammalia; Chiroptera; Pteropodidae. The record is from RNAcentral.
AUGUGUGGGGUAUAUAUGCUUUCUGUCGCCCUCAGUAGGGUAAUCCAAGAGGUGUGAGUGGAAGUCACAGGAUCCAGGCAUAGGUAAGGGU